Long non-coding RNA from Strongylocentrotus purpuratus (purple sea urchin), 588 nucleotides. RefSeq lists it as uncharacterized. Lineage: Eukaryota; Metazoa; Echinodermata; Echinoidea; Camarodonta; Strongylocentrotidae. The record is from RefSeq and is a predicted model, not a curated record. The transcript has 6 exons.
AUGUCGCUACAGGAAAUUGACCACUCCCCAACAACGGCUUCACUCAGUAAAUCCAGCCCAAAUAGUAAUGGUGAAAAGCUGAUGUCUACGCCUUUGAGCAGUACACCAAGGUCAAGUCAUCCGAGGUCAUUGGGUUCACUGUCUUCACGUAAAAGGAGUCGAGGAGACUUCAAGUCACCAAUGAGAAAUCAAGGUGAAAAGAAGCAAGAAGAAACCCCAGAGUCCAUCGAGAGAGAGAACGACAAACUGAGAGCUAGACUAUCAGAGUUAGACGAAGAGAUUUCAGAGCUGAAGGAUGUAAGGUCUGAGCGAGGAUGAGCUCCAGCUUCACAUCCAGAAGAUGCAUGAGUACAAUGAACUAAGGACAUGACUCAGAUGCUUCUAGGGAGAAUAGCCAUGUUUGAGGGAGUAACGACGAGACAACUUCAUGAAGAAAUGGGACUAGGGGAAGACUGACAAACGCUGAAAACCUGAAAAGAUGAUGGGUUCUUCAUUGUCUGUUUCUCUGCGGCGUACUUCUCCCUCAUGAUCUGCUCGUCGAUCUCCUUCUCUCUCCUCUGACGAAGCAGCCCUUGCUUAGGGGUCACG